RNAcentral lists this ribosomal RNA (468 nucleotides) under uncultured bacterium. RNAcentral describes it as "partial 16S ribosomal RNA". It matches the Rfam family "Bacterial small subunit ribosomal RNA", at positions 28 to 507 of the family's 1533-position model. The record is from RNAcentral.
GACGAACGCUGGCGGCGUGCUUAACACAUGCAAGUCGAACGGAAAGGCCCUGCUUUUGUGGGGUGCGCUAGUGGCGACCGGGGGAGUAACACGUGAGUAACCUGCCCUUGACUUUGGGAUAACUUCAUAAAACUGGGUCUAAUACCGGAUAGGAUCUCCUGCUGCAUGAUGGGGCUUGGUAAGAUUCGGCGGUUGGUGAUGGACUCGCGGCUUAUCAGCUUGUUGGUUGGGUAGUGGCUUACCAAGGUCUUGAAGGGUAGCCGUCCUGAGCGGGGGACCGGACACAUUGGGAUUGAGCUACGGCCCAGACCCGUAUGGGAGGCAGCAGUGGAGAAUAUUGUACAAUACGCGGAAGGCUGACGCAACAAAGCCGCGUGCGGGAUGAGGGGCUUCGGGUUGUAAACCGAUGUCGCCUGUGACGAAGCGUGAGUGACGGUAAUGGGUAAAGAAGCACCGGCUAACUACGUG